GACGAACGCUGGCGGCGUGCUUAACACAUGCAAGUCGAGCGAUGAAGCACCUUCGGGUGUGAAUUAGCGGCGAACGGGUGAGGAACACGUGAAGAAUCUGCCUUCAACUCUGGGAUAACUCCGGGAAACCGGGGCUAAUACCGGAUAUGAGCCUUGAUCGCAUGAUCGGGGCUGGAAAGUUUUUCGGUUGAAGAUGACUUCGCGGCCUAUCAGCUUGUUGGUGAGGUAAUGGCUCACCAAGGCGACGACGGGUAGCCGGCCUGAGAGGGCGACCGGCCACACUGGGACUGAGACACGGCCCAGACUCCUACGGGAGGCAGCAGUGGGGAAUAUUGGGCAAUGGAGGAAACUCUGACCCAGCGACGCCGCGUGAGGGAUGAAGGCCUUCGGGUUGUAAACCGUC
This 403-nucleotide ribosomal RNA is filed under the name uncultured bacterium. RNAcentral describes it as "bacterial SSU rRNA". It matches the Rfam family "Bacterial small subunit ribosomal RNA", at positions 28 to 434 of the family's 1533-position model. The record is from RNAcentral.